RNAcentral lists this ribosomal RNA (248 nucleotides) under uncultured Eubacteriales bacterium. Its description in RNAcentral is "uncultured Clostridiales bacterium partial 16S ribosomal RNA". It matches the Rfam family "Bacterial small subunit ribosomal RNA", at positions 91 to 339 of the family's 1533-position model. Lineage: Bacteria; Bacillati; Bacillota; Clostridia; Eubacteriales. The record is from RNAcentral.
GAAAGCGGCGGACGGGUGAGUAACGCGUAGGUAACCUGCCCUGUACAGAGGGAUAGCCACUGGAAACGGUGAUUAAUACCUCAUAAUACCGGAAGUUCACAUGGACAAUCGGUCAAAGAUUUAUCGGUACAGGAUGGACCUGCGUCUGAUUAGUUAGUUGGUGAGGUAACGGCUCACCAAGGCGACGAUCAGUAGCCGACCUGAGAGGGUGAUCGGCCACAUUGGAACUGAGACACGGUCCAAACUCC